ACAGCAGCCCUCUGGUGACACAGGGGGGCUUUAUCAAGAUGACAGUAUUAGCCCAGCAUGUCUGCAGACCUAUUCACAUUCAGAAAUGAACAACCAAAGAGAAGGAAUAUCCUUUUGAAAUGUUUGCUUCCAAAUCCAAACAGUGCUUGAAAAGAUAACAUUUGUUUCUCUGCAGCACCUGAGGCUUUUUUCUGCUGAACUGACAGAGAAGAGACUGGCUUCUACCCAUACAUAACCUGGCAGGCUCAAAGUGACACACAAGGAUUUCUCUUUAUAGUUUGUAAGUUAUUGUUGCAACACCCUGAUGAGGAAGAAGACAGUGACCAGCCCUCUGAAUUUCAUGGAUUAUCUCCUUUUCUAAUCUAUGGAAAGUGAAAGCACAUAUGAAUAGACCAGAAGAGAACAGGGUGGCCUCGUGCUCUUUUGAAUUUGGCCCUCUGAAUCACCAACUGACAGUGGAUCUCAGAAAAAAAGGAAGAUUUCCUUUUCCUCAAAUUAGAAAGUUUUAACAAUUAAAUCUUGGAUCAAGUUUGAAUUCUGUCAGACAUACAAAUUUUACUGUACAAUCUCCAUCUUCUAAGAACAUAUGAACCCAGAUCAAAAACCUUUGCCACCAACGUCUAAUUCUAUAAAGUGAUCCAGAAAGUUGCAAAGUCGUGUCCGACCCAUCGCGACCCUAUGGAUAACAUUCCUCCUGGCCUUCCUGUCCUCUACCAUCCUCUGGAGUCCAUUUAAGCUCACAUAAAAGCUAUCCAGCAAACCCUAAAUUUGGACAUCUGCUGAAAGGCCUAAGUGCUCUAUCACCAUGUUAGUGCAUUGAUGGUUUACAUACAGUAAGUUUAUAUAGUUAUUAGUCACCAUCAAAGCUGACAGCAGCCAAAUCAUAGAACAACGUAAAGAAGCAGUACAAGAUCAGAAGAUGUGGUGAGACCUGGCCAAAACUCAGACACAACUGAAUGGAUAACAUCAACAGCAGCAUAACAUACAGUUACAAGGACACAAGGCAAACUCUAUUAUUGUUUAGAUUUGCCAGUGAUGGGCAGGGGAAGAAAUACUGCAUUUCAAAAACUUCUUUUUUUCUCAACAACAUAUCCUAAAUGCAGUCCAUUAUUUUAAGUUUAUCAAAUUGUCCAAGUAUAUGAGACUUAAUUCUUACUGAAUAUGCAAGAUAUUGUCAACUAAAUAUACGAACAACAAGACAAUCAGUCUUUUCAUGAAUUGCCAUUCUCUAUCACUCCUACUCUUAGUUCAUCUUUUGCAGAUGCUGUUCUCAUCAAUGGCUCCUUUCUUCUUCCAAAUGGUCAAACAGUGCCAAGUGUAAUUCCCGAAGGAAGCCUACACUUCAAAAAGCAGUAUUCUAGAAAUUAUUUCCGUACUAGACUAAUUUAAAAUAUCCAGAAUUCUGUCUGGAAAAAGAUAAAUUGUAAUUUCAGUGAUAAGUAA
Molecule: non-coding RNA, 1443 nt
Organism: Pantherophis guttatus
Lineage: Eukaryota; Metazoa; Chordata; Lepidosauria; Squamata; Colubridae
Source: RefSeq, a predicted model, not a curated record